UGGCCGUUAGCUCAGUCGGUAGAGCAGUUCGCUUUUAACGAAUUGGUCCUGCGUUCGAGUCGCAGACGGCCCACCA
This 76-nucleotide transfer RNA is filed under the name Gammaproteobacteria bacterium. RNAcentral describes it as "tRNA-Lys". It matches the Rfam family "tRNA". Rfam says of the family: Transfer RNA (tRNA) molecules are approximately 80 nucleotides in length. Lineage: Bacteria; Pseudomonadati; Pseudomonadota; Gammaproteobacteria. The record is from RNAcentral.